This 502-nucleotide ribosomal RNA is filed under the name uncultured bacterium. RNAcentral describes it as "bacterial SSU rRNA". It matches the Rfam family "Bacterial small subunit ribosomal RNA", at positions 8 to 507 of the family's 1533-position model. The record is from RNAcentral.
AGAGUUUGAUCAUGGCUCAGAUUGAACGCUGGCGGUAUGCUUAACACAUGCAAGUCGAACGGUAACAGGCCUUCGGGGCGCUGACGAGUAGCGGACGGGUGAGUAACGCGUAGGAAUCUGCCUCAUAGUGGGGGACAACGUGGGGAAACUCACGCUAAUACCGCAUACGCCCUACGGGGGAAAGCGGGGGAUCUUCGGACCUCGCGCUAUGAGAUGAGCCUGCGUUAGAUUAGCUAGUUGGUAGGGUAAAGGCCUACCAAGGCGACGAUCUAUAGCUGGUCUGAGAGGACGAUCAGCCACACUGGGACUGAGACACGGCCCAGACUCCUACGGGAGGCAGCAGUGGGGAAUAUUGGACAAUGGGCGCAAGCCUGAUCCAGCAAUACCGCGUGUGUGAAGAAGGCCUUAGGGUUGUAAAGCACUUUCAAUUGGGAGGAAAACCUGCCGGUCAAUACCCGGUAGCUUGACAUUACCUUUAGAAGAAGCACCGGCUAACUCCGUG